Long non-coding RNA from Penaeus indicus, 663 nucleotides. RefSeq lists it as uncharacterized. The transcript has 2 exons. NCBI's taxonomy places the organism in Eukaryota, Metazoa, Arthropoda, Malacostraca, Decapoda, Penaeidae. The record is from RefSeq and is a predicted model, not a curated record.
AGAGAGAGAAAUAUGGAUAUGUAAAUAUAAAAUCUUUUUCGUAACUUUCCAGCAUAGGAAGACUCCAAGAGAAUGUCUUCUGACCAAUGACCCUUCUGUGCCACAAGAAUGCUUUGCACUUAGAACAACUUUCUUUGAAUGUAAACGAUCACUGCUGGAUACUCGUCAGAGAUUUAGAGGACGUAAAGGCUACUAACAAUCGCAUCACCAUUGAUAUUAAUACUUCAUUUGUAAAUAGAUCUUUCUUAGUUUUUAUAUAAGCUUGCAGUUCUUGGUAUCCUUAUAAUGAAUAUGUGCAAAUGGCAGAUGCUCAUCUAAUUUAAAACAUGAUGGAGAAGAAUAUAUGGCAAAUGACAUCUGACAAUAUCAUGGAUGAUCCUAUUCAGUAUAUGAUAUAUGAUAUGAACAACAAACACCUCAGUCCUAAGUGAGGAAGUCAUCAUUUAUUCUUUUUUCUCAAACAAUACUUUGUAAUUAAUGUCAGGGGUGUGAAUAUUAUCUUUUAGUUUAAAGCCUCUAGUGUCAUUCAUGUGAUAUUGUUUUUUUGCAACAUAGCUUUAGUGUAUUUUCAAAAUGAGAGAAAAAGUGUAUUUACAUUAUGUAGGUCUGAAUUUGUGUACUUGAGUUAUCAAUAAAGAUGUCUUGUAAAUAAGCUAAACCAAG